RNAcentral lists this transfer RNA (85 nucleotides) under Candidatus Nealsonbacteria bacterium CG_4_8_14_3_um_filter_37_36. RNAcentral's name for it is "tRNA-Ser". It matches the Rfam family "tRNA". Rfam says of the family: Transfer RNA (tRNA) molecules are approximately 80 nucleotides in length. Lineage: Bacteria; Candidatus Nealsoniibacteriota. The record is from RNAcentral. RNAcentral also lists the same sequence under 3 other names.
GGAGGGUUGCGAUAAUGGUAUUCGGCUGGUUUCGAAAACCAGUGGGAGAAAUCCCUUGCAGGUUCGAGUCCUGCACCCUCCGCCG